CGCCGUCGGCGGCGGACACGAGGGCUCGCCGGGCCAGGGAGAGGAUCCAGGCGCCACCAAACCUCGUACGCGAGGACACCGCCGUUGCUCGGACUUGAGCGCGGGCCACCUCCACCGCGUGAUGCGGCUGCUCUGUGGAGAGCCGGGCCGAGGCCCGCUCGGAGGAGCGGCGUGUCGUGGCUGUGGUGUCCGCCGCGCCCGGAGGACUGAUGCUUCUGCGACCGUCCUCGACGAGGUUGUUGCCGCUACAGUGAUGGCGAGACGGCGAGACGGUGAGCAGCAGUGGCCGCUAGUUCCAGUUCAAGAAAUUAGAAAAAGACAUGGUACCUUCUUCUUCCCUUUGCAUGACUGGAUGAUACGUUCUUGAUUGAAGCUUUCUCUUCCUGAUCAAGGAUUUCUUCCGGUUGAUGCUUCAGCCACCUAUUCAUCUCGCCAUGCUCACAUGCUCGGAUGAAGCGAUGCACUAUGUGGUGCAGAAAAUGCAGUUAAUUUCGAGAUCACUGGAAGAAAACAAAUACUUAAUUACUAAAUGGAAUUAGUGUUUCCUGAUCGAUUUCUCUUAUGGCUGUUUUAGGCGUUCGUGCCGAGAGGAGCCAGGCCGAGGGGAGCGUCGUUGCGCCGAUGCGCGCCACUGCCUCCUGUCCCGCAGCGGGCUGCAACGAUGAGACUCUGUGCGCGUGCCGGCCGGAGGGUGUCGCUGCAGAGGGUGGUCGGCCAUGGCCAUAUCCUCCGCGCCGUCGAUCUGCGCGGAUGUGAGCCUUUUCUUGUUCUGCUCUUUUUGUUUGUAGUUCAAGAAUGAUCAAUUCUUCGUGAGAUUCGUGUGAGCGCAUAUAUACUAUUAGUUUUCCUAUCAACAAGAUGUGUUCUUCAUCCUCUGCAAUGAUGUUCUGCUCUUCUCUUGUCCGGCCAAAUCGCUCGAUAGGAGAGCAAAGUGCAUGAUAACGUGUUUUGAGUGAAAAGUAAAGAACGAGAGAGUUUAAUGAAAGAUGAUCCAUCAGUCUUUAUUGAUGAUAGAAGUGGGGUAUUUAUACCCAGGCGGAAGUACACAUGGUGCUUGGCGGUCAAGUAAAAACAUAGUUACUUGAGAGCCAAGGAAUUACAUAGUUGCCUUGAGAACCAAGGAA
Molecule: long non-coding RNA, 1124 nt
Filed under: Triticum aestivum (bread wheat)
Lineage: Eukaryota; Viridiplantae; Streptophyta; Magnoliopsida; Poales; Poaceae
Description: long non-coding RNA (TAES_LNC010018)
Source: RNAcentral